GAUGAACGCUGGUGGCGUGCCUAAUACAUGCAAGUCGAGCGGUCGGACGAGAAGCUUGUUUCUCUGAUGUUAGCGGCGGACGGGUGAGUAACACGUGGAUAACCUACCUAUAAGACUGGGACAACUUCUGGAAACCGGAGCUAAUACCGGAUAAUAUCUUGAACCACAUGUUUCAAGAGUGAAAGACGCUCUUGCUUUCCCUUAUAGAUAUAUCCGCGCUGCAUUAGCUAGUUGGUAAGGUAACGGUUUACCAAGCCAACGAUGCAUAGCCGACCUGAGGGGGUGAUCGGCCACACUGGAACUGAGACACGGGCCAGACUCCUACGGGAGGCAGCAGUAGGGAAUCUUCCGCAAUGGGCGAAAGCCUGACCGAGCAACGCCGCGUGAGUGAUGAAGGUUUUCGGAUCGUAAAACUCUGUUAGUAGGGAAGAACAUAUGUGUAAGUAACUGUGCACACCUGGGCGGUACCUAAUCAGAAAGCCACGGCUAACUUCGUG
Molecule: ribosomal RNA, 497 nt
Filed under: uncultured bacterium
Lineage: Bacteria
Description: partial 16S ribosomal RNA
Rfam family: Bacterial small subunit ribosomal RNA
Source: RNAcentral